This 384-nucleotide ribosomal RNA is filed under the name uncultured archaeon. Its description in RNAcentral is "bacterial SSU rRNA". It matches the Rfam family "Archaeal small subunit ribosomal RNA", at positions 210 to 594 of the family's 1478-position model. The record is from RNAcentral.
UAGGUCUGCGGCUGAUUAGGUCGUUGGUGGGGUAAUGGCCCACCAAGCCGAUGAUCGGUACGGGUUGUGAGAGCAAGGGCCCGGAGAUGGAACCUGAGACAAGGUUCCAGACCCUACGGGGUGCAGCAGGCGCGAAACCUCCGCAAUGUACGAAAGUGCGACGGGGGGAUCCCAAGUGUUAUGCUUUUUUGUAUGACUUUUCAUUAGUGUAAAAAGCUUUUAGAAUAAGAGCUGGGCAAGACCGGUGCCAGCCGCCGCGGUAACACCGGCAGCUCGAGUGGUAGCUGUUUUUAUUGGGCCUAAAGCGUUCGUAGCCGGUUUGAUAAGUCUUUGGUGAAAGCUUGUAGCUUAACUAUAAGAAUUGCUGGAGAUACUAUUAGACUU